Molecule: long non-coding RNA, 676 nt
Filed under: Citrus sinensis (sweet orange)
Lineage: Eukaryota; Viridiplantae; Streptophyta; Magnoliopsida; Sapindales; Rutaceae
Description: long non-coding RNA (CSIN_LNC000225)
Source: RNAcentral
UGACACCACCAGUUGGAUUUUGUUCCCCACGACUCCCUCUUCCAUUUCCGACCAUCCAUAGGCACCGAGAGUCACUGUUUUUCCGCCGGUCGAUUGGUGGAAUUCACGGCUGCCGAGCUAGAUUCCGGCGUCGUUGCCGCGCGUUGGAGAUCACCGCUGGUACCAUUGAACUCAGCGUGAUUGGAACUUUACGAUUUGAGCUUCCUAGCCAGUGUUGACCAAAUUCCGGUUUUUGGUAAUUUCACACUAUGAGGGCAAUUUUGUAAUUUCUGAGCCUUUGGAUAUGUUAGUAAUUCCUCGAAUUGAGGAUUGGGUGUAAUUACGAUUCCGAGGGUAAUUCAGUAAUUUACGAUUUCGGAGCAUGUUAAUGAUCUACGGACUCAAGGGCAUUUUAGUAAUUUUAUGGAUACAGGAGUUGUUAAUUAUGAAUAGAUGUUCGUUUUGAGUUUAUUGCAUAAAAUUUAGUCAUAAUUCUGAUUUACGGAAAAUAAUUAUGUCGUUUCCUUGAUUUAGGAGGAUCCGCGAGCGAGAAUCGGUCUGCAGAUAUGGACGAUAACCGACCGUGAACACCGUCACUGAGAGUGGAAUAUACAAAACUUAUUUUCAUAGUUAGCAAUGAUAGUAAAGCAUGUUUGCGAAAUAAGUAUUUUAAAUGUUCUGAUUUAAUGAUUUCUCG